Molecule: ribosomal RNA, 476 nt
Filed under: Glodianus sp. 1 BFS-2018
Lineage: Eukaryota; Metazoa; Arthropoda; Insecta; Hymenoptera; Ichneumonidae
Description: partial 16S large subunit ribosomal RNA
Source: RNAcentral
GAAAAUAAUUUUAGGUUGAAUYUGCUCCAUGAUAAAUAAUUAAAUAGCUGCAGAAUUUUGACUGUACAAAGGUAGCAUAAUCAAUAGUUUUUUAAUUGAAAGCUGGAAUGAAUGAUUUGAUAAGGUAAUUAUUGUCUCAGAUUUAUUAAAAUUAGAAUUUUUUUUAUUAGUAAAAAAGCUAAUUUAAAUUUAAAAGACAAGAAGACCCUAUAGAUUUUUAUAUUUUAUAAUAAAUUUAUAAAAUAAAAAUUUAUUAGAAAAAUAUUAGAUUGGGGAAAUAAUUAAAUUAAAAAAAUUUUAAUAGAAAAAAAAAACAAUAAUUAUUGGAUAAUUGAUCUUAUAUUUAUAAAUUAAUAGAAUAAAAUACCUUAGGGAUAACAGCGUAAUUUUUUUGGAAAGAUCAUAUAGAUAAAAAAGAUUGCGACCUCGAUGUUGAAUUAAGAUAAAAUUUUAAAGGAGAUAUUAAAAAUUUUUAG